This 301-nucleotide ribosomal RNA is filed under the name uncultured bacterium. Its description in RNAcentral is "partial 16S ribosomal RNA". It matches the Rfam family "Bacterial small subunit ribosomal RNA", at positions 509 to 807 of the family's 1533-position model. The record is from RNAcentral.
CAGCAGCCGCGGUAAUACAGAGGGUGCGAGCGUUAAUCGGAUUUACUGGGCGUAAAGCGUGCGUAGGCGGCUUUUUAAGUCGGAUGUGAAAUCCCUGAGCUUAACUUAGGAAUUGCAUUCGAUACUGGGAAGCUAGAGUAUGGGAGAGGAUGGUAGAAUUCCAGGUGUAGCGGUGAAAUGCGUAGAGAUCUGGAGGAAUACCGAUGGCGAAGGCAGCCCCCUGGGCCAAUACUGACGCUCAUGCACGAAAGCGUGGGGAGCAAACAGGAUUAGAUACCCGUGUAGUCCCUGUCUCUUAUAC